GACGUAGGGCGCGAGCGUUGUCCGGAUUUAUUGGGCGUAAAGAGCUCGUAGGCGGCUUGUCGCGUCGGCUGUGAAAGCCCGGAGCUCAACUCCGGGUCUGCAGUCGAUACGGGCAGACUUGAGUGUUGCAGGGGAGACUGGAAUUCCUGGUGUAGCGGUGAAAUGCGCAGAUAUCAGGAGGAACACCGGUGGCGAAGGCGGGUCUCUGGGCCGAUACUGACGCUGAGGAGCGAAAGCAUGGGGAGCGAACAGG
RNAcentral lists this ribosomal RNA (253 nucleotides) under uncultured bacterium. Its description in RNAcentral is "partial 16S ribosomal RNA". It matches the Rfam family "Bacterial small subunit ribosomal RNA", at positions 524 to 776 of the family's 1533-position model. The record is from RNAcentral.